GCCAAGGUUACGAGUUCGAAACGGGAACGCUGUGGCUUCGUCCCACUCUCAAGUGGCAAAGAAAAGAAAAAAUCUCGAUACUUCAAGCCAGAAAACCCUACUCUUCUGCUGCCAAACCCCCUGGGACUCUCUCUCUCUCUGAAGCCAUGGCUCUGUCCUGCCUUCGUCUUCGUCGCUUAAUCCCAGUAUCUUCCUCGCUUCUCAGACACCACCUUGCUCCUGCUAUCUCUUCUGCGACCACCCACGCCCUCACGCCACCGGAACUAUCAUCACCAACCUUCAGACCAUCCCCUCCUCUGCGAGCCCAGUCCCUGCUCUUCUUCAGCUCCUCCUCGAACCGGACGCCCAUCGGUGAUGAUGGAAAGAUAGGACCGGACACGAUCCUCUUCGAAGGAUGUGACUACAAUCAUUGGCUGAUUACCAUGGAGUUCCCCAAGGACCCAAAGCCCAGCCCUGAAGAGAUGGUCGAGACCUACGUCCAGACGCUCGCCAAGGUCGUCGGAAGCGUGGAGGAAGCCAAAAAACGUAUGUAUGCUUGCAGCACCACGACAUAUACAGGGUUUCAAGCCGUAAUGACAGAGGAAAUGUCCGAGAAGUUUCGGGGUUUGCCUGGAGUUGUCUUCAUUCUGCCUGACUCUUAUAUUGAUCCUGUGAACAAGGAAUAUGGAGGUGAUAAGUAUAUCAAUGGCACUAUCAUCCCUAGACCUCCACCAGUUCAAUACGGAAGGUCACAAGGCAGGUACAAUGAUCGCAACAGGAACUAUGACAGGCCAAGUUAUGACAGGCAAAGGGAACCAAUGCAGCAGCAAGGAUUCAAUCAAUACCCUCCACCAUCUAAUCGCCAGAACACUAUGCAAGGUGGAAGACAAGAUUAUCCACCACCACCACCUGAUCGCCAGAACACCAUGCAUGGUGGAAGACAGGAUUACCCAUCACCGCCACCACCACCUGAUCGCCUGAACACCAUGCAAGGUGGAAGACAGGAUUAUCCACCACCACCACCACCACCAGGGAAUUUUUCUCCAAGUGGGGAUUUCAGGAACUCCAUGCAAGGUGGAGGACCUAAUUACCCACCACCUCCACCACCAAGAAAUUUUGGACCCAGUGGAGGUGAUAUGCGUGGUUAUGGUCCUCCAGCUGGCAGAGACUUCACUCCACCUGGUAAUAGAGGGUUUCCUCAAGGAGAAAGAAGAGACUAUGGGCAGCAAGUUGGGGUGAGUUAUCCUCAAGGUGAACAAAGGGACCCGAUGGCUGUUGGUGGGAGAGAUUAUGCACCAGGCGGUGGGGAUUUUCAGGGAGAAAGAAGAGGUCCUUUCCCACCAUAUGGGAGAGACCAUGACCAGGGGGUUCAAGGUAAUUAUGUUCCUCCAGGGCACAGGGACUUUUCACAAGGAACAGGUAACAGGGAUUCUUCACAUUCUGCUGAAGGAAAUUAUGGGGGUUCCGGCAGUGAUUAUGGUUCAACUGGACAUCCUCACGGUGGACAAGGAUGGCGCUGAAAUGCAAGCUGAAGCCUGAAGGAGCUGUGACCUGCAUAGAUGAUCCAAGGACAGUACGUGUUUCUACUGUAGGAAAUUGUUUGCAUGGCAACUGCAUAUUGUCAGAAAAAAUGCUUUUCAGCUGCUUCCUUUCUGCUGGGUAUAUCUUGGGAACUGUGUAAGUAGUAGUCGGGGAUACGCUGGCAUUACAGAGAAUAAUUUUUGUGGGAAGCGUAUCUUGGGAUUUGAACUGGAGAUGUGCUGUUUGUGCUCCACCAGCCUGUUAUGCCCCUCAGGAUAGGGGGAUAGGAAGUCUUUGUGUUCCAUGUGUUUUACACACUAUGAUAAAGUUAGAGAUUACUGUCAAGAAAGUGUUUGCUGCUUCUGCCUCUCUAGGCUUUUGCUAUUGCUCCCCUAUAUGAAAUGAAAGAAAGAGAGUGUGGUCGGCCGCC
This is an RNA transcript of Nymphaea colorata (pocket water lily), 1930 nucleotides long. It is a transcript of the gene named multiple organellar RNA editing factor 1, mitochondrial-like, with no coding region annotated. The transcript has 6 exons. The record is from RefSeq and is a predicted model, not a curated record. Lineage: Eukaryota; Viridiplantae; Streptophyta; Magnoliopsida; Nymphaeales; Nymphaeaceae.